Molecule: ribosomal RNA, 257 nt
Filed under: uncultured bacterium
Lineage: Bacteria
Description: partial 16S ribosomal RNA
Rfam family: Bacterial small subunit ribosomal RNA
Source: RNAcentral
GACAUAGGUGGCGAACGUUUAUCCGGAAUUAUUGGGCGUAAAAGGGUGCGUAGAUGGUUUGAUAAGUUAUUAGUGGUAAAUCGAGGCUCAACCUCGUGGAAGUUAGUAAUACUAUUAGACUAGAGUACAGGAGAGGUUAAUGGAACUCUAUGUUAGGGGUAAAAUCCGCAGAUAUAGAUGAACACCAAUAACGCGAAGGCAGUUAACUAUUCUGCUACUGACAUUGAGGCACGGAAAGGCGUGGGGAGCAAAACGGG